This 490-nucleotide ribosomal RNA is filed under the name uncultured bacterium. RNAcentral describes it as "partial 16S ribosomal RNA". It matches the Rfam family "Bacterial small subunit ribosomal RNA", at positions 29 to 505 of the family's 1533-position model. The record is from RNAcentral.
AGUGAACGCUGGCGGUAGGCCUAACACAUGCAAGUCGAACGGCAGCACAGUAAGAGCUUGCUCUUACGGGUGGCGAGUGGCGGACGGGUGAGGAAUACAUCGGAAUCUACUUUUUCGUGGGGGAUAACGUAGGGAAACUUACGCUAAUACCGCAUACGACCUACGGGUGAAAGCAGGGGAUCUUCGGACCUUGCGCGAUUGAAUGAGCCGAUGUCGGAUUAGCUAGUUGGCGGGGUAAAGGCCCACCAAGGCGACGAUCCGUAGCUGGUCUGAGAGGAUGAUCAGCCACACUGGAACUGCGACCCGGUCCAGACUCCUACGGGAGGCAGCAGUGGGGAAUAUUGGACAAUGGGCGCAAGCCUGAUCCAGCCAUACCGCGUGGGUGAAGAAGGCCUUCGGGUUGUAAAGCCCUUUUGUUGGGAAAGAAAAGCAGCAGGUUAAUACCCCGCUGUUCUGACGGUACCCAAAGAAUAAGCACCGGCUAACUUCG